AGCAUCGCGUUCCGAUCUGCAGCUGCCCGAGCAGCGCCGGGUUCUUCAUCAUCAUCAUCAUCGUCAUCAGAAGACGCGUGUCGGGAUGUGCCGCCCCCCAGAUCAGGGGCCAGCACCGCUCACAGCGCAGGGCUGCAGCUCCCGUGGAAAGAAUUGUUGCCGGGGUUUCAGCUUUGACUCACGGCCUCCGAGACAGGAUCCCUUGUCAGCAGGGGCUAUCUGGGGAACACCCGCUCCGUGUUGCCAGGCGCCUCGACCAGAGGGACCGGCACCUUCUCCUGCUGCUUCCUUUUGUUUUCCAGAACAUGGUCACGAUGUACGUGCAUGGGGCUGAGCUCUGCAUGCCCCAAAAGGGCUCUGUUUCAAGAGACAGGAGGGGCUGGGGAAGGUCUGCAAGCAGAUAUCUGGCUGUGACACCAUGUGUCUUGGGGGUUACCUGCGGCCUUUUGUCACCUGGAUGUCCUUGGCAUGCUGGGGGCCCAGCAUGGCAGGGGAUGUUGGGCUGUCCUUGGCCAGGUGGGCAUCCCUAGGAAAGAGAAUUUGGAAUGAUCAGAUGGGCAGGGAACAAACUCAAGCUAUUUUAGCUCUCACUUUCCCUCGAAGCUUAAGGCAUGCUUUAACCUUCUGGAUAUUCUUCUGUUUUCUUUCCAACAUCUGAUUUGAAAGGCUUUGCUUUCUGACAAAAUAGGAAUGAAGCUCUACUUGCCCCCAUGCCUUGGCUGGGGCAGUCUAACAUCCCCAGCCCAAGUCCCCACAUCCAAGGGAAGAGCUGUGAAGGAGGUCCGUCCCAGGGAGAUGCAGUAGGUUUGGCUGUGCUGGGAUGGAACAUCCAUGCUGAGCAGGGAGGGACCUGCUCCUGCCGGGCUGCCUUACCACGUCCCACCAGCCCCGCUGAUUGCAGGGGUAGAUUUGCUCAACUCGGUUCAUCCUCAGCCUCCAAACAGCACAUGGAGGCCCAGAGAACAAAGGAAGAAACUUCUUCUCCACCCCUUUCAGCAACACUUCCCUUCGUGUGCUGCUGGGUUUGAUGUCCGUAAGAAAGUCCCUCCUCCCCAUGGAAGACAAAGCCCAAGAAAGAAAUCAUGGGACUUAUUUUCUGAGGCCAGAGUUCUGGCGAGACCUCAUUUGAAACCACCUAAAUUUGAGGAAUAUGUAUUUAAAAUGCGAUGCUAUGAAAACCUGGUAAAUAUUUAAUUUUAUUUUUAUUAAAUACUAAAUUGAUGAUGGCUGACACUUUAUUAAAGUGUCAAAGUGAGUGUUCCUACAUUCUAAUUACUUAUCCUAACAAGGAGGCAGCCUCGUCAGGAGCCGCGCGCUGGCGUGCGCAGGCGAGGGGCGCUCCCGUUAAGUAACACCUAUUAAACUAUCAUUUGCACCUUGAGGCAUCUCAUUAAUAUCUCAACUGGUGAGACUGCGCUGCCAGUGCCUACCUGACCCGGGGCACUGGCAGGAGAAAUGGCUCCGGGAGUCCUUUCCUCGCUCCAGGCAUUCGUGCACAAAUAAUUCCUAUAAAAUUAAUAAUGGCUAUGCCACUUAAUUGAAUUCCUGAUAAAUGAAGAUUCUUCCAAGUCCCUUCUACAUGCGUCCGAGAGAUGCAAGAGGAUUGCUGCACUACACUUGGGGGAAAGUUUUGUUCUCCACCCUCCUCCUCGCUUUCUUUCUUCCUCUCUCCAACUCUCUUUCCACGCUGUGUCCUCCUGCUCCCUCCCCAUCAUUCUUUUCCUCCUCCUCCCAUACCUGCCUUUUCUUUUCUGCAGCACUUUCUCUUCUGACUCUUCCAUUUGGCUCCCUGCCACUUCUCCAUGAUCUCCAUGAUCCAAGAUAGAUAGUCAAGAUCUAUCUUUAUGCUAUCUCCACCAUUCAUAUUCCUUCUGUAGAUUUCUCAGUCUUUUCUCUCUUAUCUCCCCAUCUUGCCCCGCUUCCAUUUUGCUUUCCAUUUCACCAAUAACAACCUUUUUUCUCAGGUUUCCGUUCAGGCCUUGGUCACAUUGCCUUGGAGGAAUGUUCUUGUGGUAUGAGAUCUCUGUUGGACGUGGACAUGGCAGCACAUCUUCAGACCUGUCUGCUCACCAAGAAGAGAUGUCCUCCCUCAUACUGGAUAUUGCCAUAGCCAAAAAACUCACAGAAUCUGCAGAUCUCCUCUCAUCCCAUCUUCCCCGUGGAUGAGGAAACAACUGUAUGAGAAGAGGAGGAACCUGUCCUCAAGACAUGGUCAAAUCUGCGACCACCUGGAUGCCAAAUCAUUGCAAGAAAGGAGUAUAGUUCAAAGGAUUGGAGGGAGAAAAUGAUGUUUCGUUGCCUCCCCCCAGGGCUGAGUGAGGCAAGGGAAGCUCUGCUCUUGGCUCCCUUGGGUGCUGAGGUUGCAGGUAGGGAAACGCUGUGCUCCAUGGACUAGGUAAGUUAUUUCCUACAGCUUUUCUGCCUCCCUCCCUUCAUGGUCCCGAAUGGCAGACUGCUGGAAGAAACUGGUUGAUGUUUGCUGUGUUACAACAACAUUUGCUAAUUCUUAAAUUAAAAGGGGGUUAAUAAGUGUGCUGAUGGUGGGCUUGGAGGGGAGGAGGGGGCUGCAGCCCUGGUGGCCAGGUGAGGACGGCUGGGGCAGUGCUGCUAUCCAAGCCCCUCUUCUUGCCCCCUGACCUUUCUAGUUUGAUGCAGAUGUCACUGUGCCCACCACCAAGAUCCUCACCAACCUGGAGAAAUCCCAGCUGGGUGUUCACAGCUCUGAGCUUCACUGCCAAGGAUUCAGCCACUCACUCCUGUUGUUGCUGCACCAGGACUGGGACUCAGCUCAGAGGCCCCCCAAGUGUUCAGAUCAACUGCACCAUCAAGGCCUGCAUGGAAAAGGAUUUCCCCUCCCUCAGACCUUCUGGCCAUUGGCCCAGAGGCUCAGCUAUGGAUUAUGUUUGUUCUCCAGGAACAGCCAUCGUGCUGCUCCUUGUGGGCAUACUGCAGGGAUGCUAGAGCCAGAGAGCAAUGGAUGUUAUGGAGAUGGAGCCACACAAGCACCAGUGACAGCUGAGUGAUGACAUGAAGGUUCUGGUUCCAUUAACCAUCAAUUUGAUAAUAAACAGUAAGAGCCAGAUGUCAUAGGAGCACCUCUAUGCCUUGGUGCUGGUGGCAAGUUUCACACCUUCAGCUCUUCUAAUAAGACAUCAUUUCAUCUCGCAGUGCUCCACUCAAAAUGUUUAUUAUAGCUACACUGAUAGGUACUGCAAGAUCUCAUUACUUAUCUGCACUAUUUUUAUUUUGGAUAGAUAAUAGAAAAAUUGUAUGAAGGGCAGUUAUAGAUUCCUAAAACUAAAACUGUGAUUUUGAUUUAUUCCAGUUUGUGGGCUGCUAAACAAAGUUUUUCAGCAGAGGCACAGACUUCUUUGUGCUUUCACUGGAGCAUGAAAGAUUUUGCUUCCUUUCACGGCCUUCCACAGCCUUCAUUUCACAGCCCAUAGGGGUCUGCAGGCCACCAUUCAGAAACC
Molecule: long non-coding RNA, 3473 nt
Organism: Tympanuchus pallidicinctus (lesser prairie-chicken)
Lineage: Eukaryota; Metazoa; Chordata; Aves; Galliformes; Phasianidae
Exons: 3
Source: RefSeq, a predicted model, not a curated record